CUGUGUGCGUGCGGUGUGCAUGCCUCUACUAUCAACACAUCCGUGUUACAGGCCACCAGCAUGAAUACACGCCGGCGAAAAAGCCCUCUGCUCUCCCCCAGCACAACCCAGCAGAGAAGAAACCCAGCGGAAACGCAAAGACCACACGAGUGAGGGAAUAGGAGGGCAUUGGAGAGAGAGCACACUGUGGAGAGGAGGUUUGGAGAAAGAAAGAAAGAAAGAAAGAAAGAAAGGAAGAAAAGGAAAUUACACCAAGGAUUGAACACCCAAUGGCAAAUUAGGACUGGACUGGAGAACCCGAACGGCACUUGGACAAUACUUCUGUACAAAAACAACCCUCGGUAACAAACCCGGCCUGAAUCGACAAAAAGUGAAAGACCUCCACCUGUUGGCUGAUUGAUUAUUUUGUUUGUUUUGUUUACGUUUAUCAAGAACACUCCCAAAGCCCCUCAUCCUCUGCCAAAGCCUGUUAAAAAUAAACAGGUUUUAAACUUUACUUGUACUUGUGUAGUGUGGUUUUGUGUGUAAUCCCCGCCUUACAAAGAACCCA
Long non-coding RNA from Acipenser ruthenus (sterlet), 550 nucleotides. RefSeq lists it as uncharacterized. Lineage: Eukaryota; Metazoa; Chordata; Actinopteri; Acipenseriformes; Acipenseridae. The transcript is spliced from 3 exons. The record is from RefSeq and is a predicted model, not a curated record.